Molecule: transfer RNA, 85 nt
Filed under: Felis catus (domestic cat)
Lineage: Eukaryota; Metazoa; Chordata; Mammalia; Carnivora; Felidae
Rfam family: tRNA
About the family: Transfer RNA (tRNA) molecules are approximately 80 nucleotides in length. Their secondary structure includes four short double-helical elements and three loops (D, anti-codon, and T loops). Further hydrogen bonds mediate the characteristic L-shaped molecular structure. tRNAs have two regions of fundamental functional importance: the anti-codon, which is responsible for specific mRNA codon recognition, and the 3' end, to which the tRNAs corresponding amino acid is attached (by aminoacyl-tRNA synthetases). tRNAs cope with the degeneracy of the genetic code in two manners: having more than one tRNA (with a specific anti-codon) for a particular amino acid; and 'wobble' base-pairing, i.e. permitting non-standard base-pairing at the 3rd anti-codon position.
Source: Rfam by way of RNAcentral
GCCUGCGUAGCUCAGUCGGUUGAGCGUCAGACUUGGGAUCAGAUCAUGAUCUCACCGUCCGUGGGUUUGAGCCCCGCGUCGGGCU